Zalophus californianus (California sea lion) is the source of this 4432-nucleotide long non-coding RNA. RefSeq lists it as uncharacterized. The record is from RefSeq and is a predicted model, not a curated record. The transcript has 3 exons. NCBI's taxonomy places the organism in Eukaryota, Metazoa, Chordata, Mammalia, Carnivora, Otariidae.
CCUCAGCGGGUGCGGGAAGCGCCGCGUCCUGGGUCCCGGCGAUGCGGCGACACUUCCCGGGCGGGAAGCCGGGCUUGGUUUGCUGCAGGUCCCGUUGCUCGUGGGGCCGCCGCCCAGGCUGCGAGACCCGCCGGGGCUGCGCAAAUAGUGCUCUCUGUGGCUGCAAGCGGGACAUUUUCCCCACGGAUGGCUGGUGGAUCUUUCUGACCUGCGAUAAUGCCAUCAAGCUAGCCAAUGUGGAGAGCCUCCAUGGAAAGAUGCUUCCCUUCCUCAAGAUGGACAUAGGAGGAUCAGAGGGGACUCCCCCACCCUGGAGGACAUCCAUUUGCACCAGGACAGGAUUCUGCACGAUGUCAUAGAGAACAGUGUAAGGAGGACAAGGACACUCACCGGGGAGGGCUAGCCCAGCCUGAAAACACUCCUACGGGCACAGUGUUUACGCUCAAACACAGGACCACGUGCAUUUUGUGAGAUGGAGCCCUGCACUCCACAGCAUCCUUGUCAUUCACCAGCAGGUGACUUUGCCUCCCCAAACCAUUUUCUCACUCUCUGCCUCACUUCCCCAAGGCACUCUGUGUGGCCGCAAAGGGCACAUCCCCACCAGUGAGUCCUGACUGAUGCUUCUGACCUGCAGUCAUGCCCUCAAGCCAGCCAAUGUGAAGAGUCUGCUUGGCAGGGGCGCCGUUUCGUCAAGGCAAGCACUCAGCAGGAGACCUCAUUGCUCAUUGUCGAGUUCAGAGUGAAACCACAGACCUGGCAGUUACCUACACAGCACUGGGCCUCUCUAGGAGCUGGGUGGGUCAGCCUGGAACCCACCCCGGCCUCCCUCCCCACCCCCACCCCGCUCAGUGCGCACCCAGUGCCCCCUCCCUGUGGCAGUGGACAUUGUUCCUUCUGGGGGUGGGCUUGGCAGGGAGCCGGGGGCCAUGCGGAAGCAGAAGGGGAAGCGUAGUAUGUGUUCCCAGCUAUGAAGUAACUCCCCACUGCAGUGCUUGGGAAGUAACCUGCACUCCUUGUGGGUAUGUUGAGAUUCCCUGUAAAGCUGUAAAUGUCACGUGCUCCUCACUCUGGGUUUGGCCAAGAAGACCUCUUCCCGCUCUCCCCAUGCUUUCCCUCUUGUUAGGGAGAGGAAGAGGGGUAAGGGGUCUUGCCUUACCCUCCCACCCCCACCCCACGCCUGGGGAGUUCAUACCAGCCAGCCCAGGUCACUCCCCACAUAGUCACACCCUGUGACCCUUCGACUGGGUAUCAGAGUCCUCGCUGGAGCUGGGAGAGGACAGGGCAUUCUGGAACCUUAAAGGGGCCACUGAGUAAGAAACACCUGUCUUGGCCAGGUGGGGAGGAGCCACCACAGCCUCCUCCUAGUCUGCUCCCCACCUCACAGCACAGAGCUGGUGUUUCUGGUCCCUUCUGUGCUAAGAGAACCAGAAGGGGAGGAAGGGGAUGUGCCGCAGGUGGCAGGCCUCCAGCAGGGUGGCCAGGGCUGGUGGGGGGCAGCUGCUCGCUCUUCCUCAUCUGGGGAUCCUAUUGUCUCCUGCCAUUGAGUAGGCAGGCCCAGUCACCCCCAACUCCUCCAAAUUGUGUGAAAUGGAAAUCUACUUGCUCCUUACCCAUCUUGAAAGCUGAAGGGGGAUGUCCGGUUGUGUCUGCCCUUGGCGAUCGGGGCACACACACCCCUUCACAGCUGUGCCAAAUGAAGGGUGGUAAGGGAGCAGGACAAAGUCUGGUUUAUCUGUGUCUUUGGAUGGAGUCUUAAGCUCUCGCAGAGAGAAGCUUCUGAAGGUUAUAUAGUAUUUUCACUUGUUCUUAUAGAAGAAAAAAAAUGAAAUUUUAAACUAAUUGUGCCUCAGAACAGGUACAAUGAAGUAUCCUAGAUGUGUGCAGAUGUGCACCACCUCUGUUGCUUUCUCUCUGCACCCCUGGUCACCUUUGAGAAGCCAAAGCAGGCCAUCAGGAAGAGCCAGAGUUCACGUCUUUUGUUCUCUGAGCCCACAGUCUGGUCUACCCUAAACUUAUAUCCUGAACAGAGCGAGCAUAGAAGACAGCACUCUGGCUGUGAGAAGAAAUACAUAAAUUAAGAAACAGCAAAAACUUUUGCUCAUGGGAAAGAGACCGUCCUCUUCAAAGGAUGCCAAUGACAGGGCUAUUAGAUUUUGACUGAGUACAUGCAAACACUGCUUCUGGAGAUUUCCCUAUGCACAGGAAACGGGGGAUGAAUUUCCACCUAACUUGAUGGAAAAAAACCAUCAUCCAAAGCCAAGCCUGGCCCCGUUGGGAAAGGGGCCUGAGGAACCCGGUUUCCUUCGUCUAGACUUGUGCAUCUUGGCUCAGGGCAGAAGCUCCCUGGGGGUUGUGGAAUAGACUAGACCCGACAGAUUGAGCAUUGAAUCUGAGUUUUGUGGUAACCUCUCUCAUGGUUUCCAUUUCCCCUGCUCGACUAGGACUGUUCUGGCCCUCAGAGGCUGCUUGAAGGCUGCAUGAUGGGGCACUUGUCUCUCUCCUCUGAUCUGGGUAGGAAAGAGCCUUGUAGAGAACAGGAGUUCCAGUCUAAAAGCUCUUCCUGAACCCAGACUUCCUCCUUGUUCUGCCUUUCCUUGCAUAUUGGGAAUCUCUGCUUCCAUCCGGCUUUCUUCCCUAGGGUCAGUCCCAAGGCCAGCAUGCACCGCUGAGACCCAGGGGUCCCCAGGGUCCAUAGCAUCCACUUCACCUUCAUCUGGGCCUGUACUUCAUGGGGCUGGUUCUGCCAUGGGUUUUUGCAGUAGGCCUUCUUGCCCCUUGCCUUUUUUACUGGGACUGAAGCCACUGAGAAUAGCUCAUUCUCUUUUUACUCAUGUUCAUUUGGAAGGAACCUGUGUGCUCUAUGGCAGGACUGGCAGAAUCUCACUCACAAGGAUCUCACUGGCCUGGGCAGAGUGGCUCUUUCUUUUGACCUGGGUGUCCCACAGUCCUUUCUGCCUCCCAACGUGCUCUCCGUCACUGAGGCACGGAGUGUCAUCUCGCUCAGCUCUUGGGGCUGCAUUUUUUUUUUCUGGCUCCUUCUUGCAGCCUGAAGCUUAGCCUGCUCCCACUGAUGCUGGCCACUUUCUCCAGCUUCCCAGUUGGCACCCAGCAUCUGGAAGGGUGCAGAUUCUGAUUGGCCUUGCUCUGGGGAUGAGACUCAGAGAGACCAGGAGCCAGGCCAUCUGAGGCCUGUGGCUACAGCUGGGACUCUGUGCCCAAUGGAAAAAUUAAUGUAACCAAGUUGCUGCUCUUUAAAAGCAUGGUUUUCCUAGAUCUUAGCAGGCCACGUCCUUACUGGUGUGGGAUAUUGCUUGCUUACUGAAGUCCCUAGUCACUCAGAUCUCAUCUACCUUAUGGCAAUUUCCCAGGCACAGUCUCCCAAAGUCUCCCAAUCAUUCUUGAGGAGCAUGGUGCUGUUUGAACUUGACUAUUUCUUGAUCUUCUUGGCCCCUGAAAUUCGUAAAUUCUUUGCUAACCUUUUUUUUUCCUAAAGAGGAAAUUCAGAUAUUCACGAAAUGUGGCUGAACUGGACUUUGGUAAACUCGUAGUCUUUGAGGUUGGUGUCAUGCCUUGGUCCCUUGAGCCUUAUGUAUACUCAGAAUAUCUUUUUUUUUUUUUUUUUGACCUUCCAUGAUUACUCACUCUUGAAAUGCCUCUUGAUUAUGGUUGAGGAGCAUUGGGGUCUUCUCCCUCUAUUUUUUUCCCAGGACAUACGACCAUGGAUAUAUCAUAAAGCCAUCUCCACUAACUUCUUCCUGCUGUGAAAACUGAGCUUAGAAGAGAUGCUUUCCUUCUUUGGUGAGGCUGACAUUGACAGACUUCAGCAUUCAAUGUCUGACAUGUUUGGGAGAGAAGAGGCAAGCCAAGAGGGGUUGUCUGGAGUUGACCUCCAUGGGACAGUGUUCAGUUGGAUUGGAAUUGACUGGUGAUAGUGGUGUAGAGAAAACUGGUGGUGAGGUAUGACUGCACUGUGCGCAGAAAAGAAUUAACCUUGUCCAAAGGAAGGUUUGGCUCAUGCCCCCAAUUCCUAGUAUAUAACCUCUAAGCCCUUGGACUGUCCUGCUUGAUAUGUUUACCUGGGGCCUUGGGCCAUGCCAGAUAGUCUAUACUAACAAAGUAAUUUAUGUUGGGGGCCUUGGGCUAUAUGGUAUCAGCUUGACUCUUGGAGGAGCUGGAGACAGAAGUCAACCUUACUGGUGAUCAGCCAUGUUUGUACGACUGAUCUCCAGUAAAAACCCUGGACACCAAAGCUUGUGUGAGCUUCCCUAGUUGGCAAUAUUCCAUGCAUAUUGCCAUAUGUUGUUGUUGGGAGAAGGAUACACCAUCCACACAAUCCCAAACUGGAACUCCAUAUCUGGAACUCUCCUGGACCAUGCCCUAUGCACCUCUUCCCUUUGCUGAUUUUAGUUUGUAUCCUUUCACUGAAAUAAAC